RNAcentral lists this ribosomal RNA (492 nucleotides) under uncultured bacterium. RNAcentral's name for it is "partial 16S ribosomal RNA". It matches the Rfam family "Bacterial small subunit ribosomal RNA", at positions 28 to 507 of the family's 1533-position model. The record is from RNAcentral.
GGUGAACGCUAGCUACAGGCUUAACACAUGCCAGUCGAGGGGAAACGUCAUCGAAUUCUUGCUUUUGAUGGGCGUCGACCUGCGCACGUGUGAGUAACGCGUAUCCAACCUGCCCAUCACUUGGGUAUAACCUUGCGAAAGUAAUACUAAUACCCAACGACAUCCCACUAAUACAUCUGAAUGGUAUUAAAGUUUUAUCUGUUAUUGAUGGUGAUGCGUCUGAUUAGCUUGUUGUCGUGGUAACUGCCCACCAAGGCAACGAUCAGUAGGGGUUCUGAGAGGAAGGAAAAAGACAAGGGAACUGAGACACGGACGAAAAUGCUACGGGAGGCAGCAGUGAGGAAUAUUGGUGAAGGGGAGAGAGCAUGAAACAGCCAAGUAGCGUGCAGGAUGACGGGCAUAUGGGUUGUAAACUGCUUUUAUAAGGGAAAAAAGUGGGUAACGUGAGACUUUUUGAAUGUACCUAAUGAAUAAGGACCGGCUAAUUCCGUG